UACGUAUGGUGCGAGCGUUGUCCGGAAUUAUUGGGCGUAAAGCGCUUGUAGGCGGUUUGUCGCGUCUGCUGUGAAAAUCCGGGGCUCAACCCCGGACUUGCAGUGGGUACGGGCAGACUAGAGUGUGGUAGGGGAAACUGGAAUUCCUGGUGUAGCGGUGAAAUGCGCAGAUAUCAGGAGGAACACCGAUGGCGAAGGCAGGUCUCUGGGCCGCUACUGACGCUGAGAAGCGAAAGCAUGGGGAGCGAACAGG
RNAcentral lists this ribosomal RNA (253 nucleotides) under uncultured bacterium. RNAcentral describes it as "partial 16S ribosomal RNA". It matches the Rfam family "Bacterial small subunit ribosomal RNA", at positions 524 to 776 of the family's 1533-position model. The record is from RNAcentral.